GUAGCCGGCCUGANAGGGCGACCGGCCACACUGGGACUGAGACACGGCCCAGACUCCUACGGGAGGCAGCAGUGGGGAAUAUUGCGCAAUGGGCGGAAGCCUGACGCAGCGACGCCGCGUGGGGGAUGACGGCCUUCGGGUUGUAAACCUCUUUCGCCAGGGACGAAGAGUGAUUGACGGUACCUGGAGAAGAAGCACCGGCCAACUACGUGCCAGCAGCCGCGGUAACACGUAGGGUGCGAGCGUUGUCCGGAAUUAUUGGGCGUAAAGAGCUCGUAGGCGGUGUGUCGCGUCGGCCGUGAAAACUUGGGGCUUAACUCUGAGCGUGCGGUCGAUACGGGCAUCACUUGAGUUCGGCAGGGGAGACUGGAAUUCCUGGUGUAGCGGUGAAAUGCGCAGAUAUCAGGAGGAACACCGGUGGCGAAGGCGGGUCUCUGGGCCGAUACUGACGCUGAGGAGCGAAAGCGUGGGGAGCGAACAGGAUUAGAUACCCUGGUAGUCCACGCCGUAAACGUUGGGCGCUAGGUGUGGGGACCAUUCCACGGUUUCUGUGCCGCAGCUAACGCAUUAAGCGCCCCGCCUGGGGNNGUACGGA
Molecule: ribosomal RNA, 595 nt
Filed under: Pseudonocardia sp. BJ02
Lineage: Bacteria; Bacillati; Actinomycetota; Actinomycetes; Pseudonocardiales; Pseudonocardiaceae
Description: bacterial SSU rRNA
Rfam family: Bacterial small subunit ribosomal RNA
Source: RNAcentral